Molecule: long non-coding RNA, 537 nt
Organism: Bos taurus (domestic cattle)
Lineage: Eukaryota; Metazoa; Chordata; Mammalia; Artiodactyla; Bovidae
Source: Ensembl
CUUUUGGUCAAAACAGCCACAAGCCUGGCCCAGCAUACAGAGCAGCAGAGAAAUAGCUCCUACUUUUCCGUGUCAGAGUGACAGGUUUUGACAGCAUAGACAAUGUGUACGAACAAUUGCUUCUGAAGCUGUCCUGGGAGUCUCAGAGUGCAGAGCUAGGAGCUGGAAAAUCCCAGACUCCUGGCCUGAAAGAGACCUGAAGAAGCCACUGUUCUGGGAAAACUGAGAGUUCUGCAGUGAAAGAUUAGCUACUCUAUUUAAGAACAUUAUUUGACUUCACACACACACACACACAAAUAUUACAGCAAGACUGAUGAAAAACUAAAAAAUUUAAAAAUUCACCCAUGAUGUCAUCAUGACCAUAAAAUAGCCUGUUUUCAUAUGUCUACAUAUUUCCCUGCCAGUCCUUGUCUGUAUGCAUUUAUGUAACUUUUACAGAGUUAAUGUCAUCAUUAAGAUAAAAGCAUGUUUUUCUUUUUACUGAACAAUUCAUCAUAAUUAGGGACUUACUUGGCAGUCCAGUGGUUAAGACUCCUU